Molecule: ribosomal RNA, 680 nt
Filed under: Xiphinema brasiliense
Lineage: Eukaryota; Metazoa; Nematoda; Enoplea; Dorylaimida; Longidoridae
Description: SSU rRNA
Rfam family: Eukaryotic small subunit ribosomal RNA
Source: RNAcentral
GGUUCGAAAGGCGAUCAGAUACCGCCCUAGUUCUAACCGUAAACGAUGACAACCAGCGAUUAGUCGGCGUUAAUAUAAGACCCGACUAGCAGCUUCCGGGAAACCAAAGUUUUCGUUUCCGGGGGAAGUAUGGUUGCAAAGCUGAAACUUAAAGGAAUUGACGGAAGGGCACCACCAGGAGUGGAGCCUGCGGCUUAAUUUGACUCAACACGGGAAAACUCACCCGGCCCGGACACCGUAAGGAUUGACAGACUGAGAGCUCUUUCUUAAUUCGGUGGGUGGUGGUGCAUGGCCGUUCUUAGUUGGUGGAGCGAUUUGUCUGGUUAAUUCCGAUAACGAACGAGACUCUGGCCUAUUAAAUAGCCGGUAUAUCUAGAAAAGUAUGCCGCGCUUCUUAGAGGGACAACCGGCGUCUAGCCGCGUGAAAUAGAGCAAUAACAGGUCUGUGAUGCCCUUAGAUGUCCGGGGCUGCACGCGCGCUACACUGAAAGAAUCAGUAUGCGCCUUCGCCUAGUUCGGAAGAACCGGGUAACCCGAGCAAAUUCUUUCGUGCUUGGGAUAGGGAAUUGCAAUUAUUUCCCUUAAACGAGGAAUUCCCAGUAAAUGCGGGUCAUAAGCUCGCGUUGAUUACGUCCCUGCCCUUUGUACACACCGCCCGUCGCUACUACCGAUUGGAUGAC